CGGAGGUGGCAAGCGUUGUUCGGAAUUACUGGGCGUAAAGGGCGCGUAGGCGGCCUACUAAGUCAGACGUGAAAUCCCCCGGCUUAACCUGGGAACUGCGUCUGAUACUGGAAGGCUUGAGUAUGGGAGAGGGAUGUAGAAUUCCAGGUGUAGCGGUGAAAUGCGUAGAUAUCUGGAGGAAUACCGGUGGCGAAGGCGGCAUCCUGGACCAUUACUGACGCUGAGGCGCGAAAGCUAGGGGAGCAAACGGGAUUAGAUACCCCGGUAGUCCUAGCCCUAAACGAUGAAUACUUGGUGUGGCGGGUAUCGAUCCCUGCCGUGCCGAAGCUAACGCAUUAAGUAUUCCGCCUGGGGAGUACGGUCGCAAGGCUG
This 372-nucleotide ribosomal RNA is filed under the name uncultured organism. Its description in RNAcentral is "bacterial SSU rRNA". It matches the Rfam family "Bacterial small subunit ribosomal RNA", at positions 526 to 896 of the family's 1533-position model. The record is from RNAcentral.